This 112-nucleotide ribosomal RNA is filed under the name uncultured bacterium. RNAcentral's name for it is "partial 16S ribosomal RNA". It matches the Rfam family "Bacterial small subunit ribosomal RNA", at positions 1390 to 1501 of the family's 1533-position model. The record is from RNAcentral.
CCGCCCGUCACAUCAUGAAAGCUGGUUGUACUAGAAGUCGCCGUGCUAACCGCAAGGAGGCAGGUGCCCAAGGUAUGACUAGUGAUUGGGGUGAAGUCGUAACAAGGUACCC